This 254-nucleotide ribosomal RNA is filed under the name uncultured bacterium. RNAcentral describes it as "partial 16S ribosomal RNA". It matches the Rfam family "Bacterial small subunit ribosomal RNA", at positions 524 to 776 of the family's 1533-position model. The record is from RNAcentral.
UACAGAGGGUGCGAGCGUUGUCCGGAAUCACUGGGCGUAAAGGGCGCGUAGGCGGCCUGAUAAGUAGGGGGUGAAAUCCUGUGGCUUAACUGCAGGGCUGCCUCCUAGACUGUUAGGCUCGAGCACGGUAGAGGCAGAUGGAAUUCCCGGUGUAGCGGUGGAAUGCGUAGAGAUCGGGAAGAACAUCGGUGGCGAAGGCGGUCUGCUGGGCCAGUACUGGACGCUGAGACGCGAAAGCGCGGGGAGCGAACGGG